GUUAACAUGAAGCAACAAGCAGCACUUACUCAAACAGUAGUGGCUCAAGCAGUACCUACUCUAGUUCUUUAUAACUCCUGCCAGGUGAUUCCAACAUAAGGUAAAACCUUUAACAGUAAUAGAUAUACUAUUACUAAAAAUCAUCAUUUAUUAGCUAGUUAAGCUGAUAUAACAGAAGUUCAUGCCUACUCAGCCGGAACAACAUGUGUCAGUGCUAUUUACAGCAGAUCAGGUAGCUAACGAAGUGAAAUGUUAGAAAGGUACUUUACUUUUAGUCGUAGGAUAAAACUAAAAAUCUGAUAUCUACUUUCGCAUUUCACACAGGCGCAGGCGCUAAACCGAGCUGAGUACGACGCGUGGGUGGCGCCUACCGGCUGCGACUCAACUAAACAGAACCCGUCGCAUGGUAUCGGUCAAUACUGAGGCGUGGAAUGAGGAAGAAUCGCAGUAACUCAAGCUGAGCGGUCGCUAGGGUCGCUAGGCGCAGGCGCUAAACCGAGCUGAGUACGACGCGUGGGUGGCGCCUACCGGCUGCAACUCAACUAAACAGAACCCGUCGCAUGGGUCAAUACUGAGGCGUGGAAUGAGGAAGAAUCGCAGUAACUCAAGCUGAGCGGUCGGUAGGGUCGCUAGGCGCAGGCGCUAAACCGAGCUGAGUACGACGCGUGGGUGGCGCCUACCGGCUGCAACUCAACUAAACAGAACCCGUCGCAUGGGUCGAUACUGAGGCGUGGAAUGAGGAAGAAUCGCAGUAACUCAAGCUGAGCGGUCGCUAGGGUCGCUAGGGUCAAUACUGAGGCGUGGAAUGAGGAAGAAUCGCAGUAACUCAGCCGAGCGGUCGCUAGGGUCGCUAGAUGCAGUAGAACGAAGAAGUAGCUGGCAACUUGAAUGCAAGUGUGCAUUAGAUGGCGCCACCAUAGCUUUGCCCGGACAAGAGUUUUGCUCUAUGAGAUUUGACUUCUAAUAUUAAAAUACUUGGACCGAUUCAGGGAGAAGAACGCGCUUUAUCAGCACACUCACGCUCCUUUGAAAGCAAAAGCAUAAUAUUAUUGUUAAUGUAUUUUUUUUUCUAGUAUGUAACUUGUAACGUAAUGUAACGUGUGUUGUCAUGUAACUACUGAAUUUUUGAUUGACAAAUAAGUUAUCAGUUAGUUAGUUGUAUUAGGUAAUUAAUUUAAUUGAAAUUGUGCACACAUGCUCCCGCAAUUUGGCAAUAUCAACAACGUUUAUUAAAGUUUUUCGAAUGCAUAUCGCAAAUGUCAGAAUAUUCUGUUCAUAAAAGUUAUGGAUUGUCAUGCCUUUUUCCAAUGACCCUUAUUUAGGGUAAAGUAACACCAAACAAAGUAUUUGUGAGACAGUUUAACCUUUUGGCCGCCAGAGACUUAAACGGAAAAUCGUGACCACGACGCCACUUUUAUGUUAGCAUAAUUUCUUUACCCAUCCUUAAUUUACCCCCGUGGCGUCAGUGGCACGGUUUUCCGUUGACGUCAUUUGCUGUAUUUGGCGUUCAAAAGGUUAAAAACAUAAAAUUUACCAUAAAUUAAGACCCAUAAAAUUGUAAACAUCUGCGGCGAUUUAUGAUGAUUGUGUUAACUAAACGUAACAUAAGCAUUUGUAAAUGUAAUCAAUUUUAGCAUAUUACUUACCAAAACUCACCUGUGCUAUUCCAUUUCCCUGUUAUCCCCAAUCGUGCUGGUAGCAGCGAAGUGCAAUGCUUUCUACCUUUCCCCAAAAUCUCAGUCCUGCGAGUGCGAGGUGCAAAAUGUAAGUAUUUAUCAAAAAGGGACGGCUGUUUCGCAGGCUAGAUAAUGUUUCCUCCUCUCUUGUACUAGGCCGACUAGUACUCCGAUGCGCCUAUCUCCUCCUUCCUUAUAUCCGUAGCUAGUUAUCAGAAAAAUAAAAAAUAAAUCAUCCGUUUGUUUUUCUUAUGCAACAGGCGUUUAAAGGAGGUCAAAAAAGACAAGUGGCGUGGGUAACAAUUUGAGGCGAAGUAUUUUUUGACUCAGUUAAACAC
Molecule: long non-coding RNA, 2014 nt
Filed under: Leguminivora glycinivorella
Lineage: Eukaryota; Metazoa; Arthropoda; Insecta; Lepidoptera; Tortricidae
Description: uncharacterized LOC125224603, transcript variant X3
Source: RNAcentral